Molecule: non-coding RNA, 264 nt
Organism: Cinara cedri
Lineage: Eukaryota; Metazoa; Arthropoda; Insecta; Hemiptera; Aphididae
Source: the annotation of a GenBank genome assembly
CAAUGUGACGCAUGUUAAAUAAGUUAAUUUCGUUGAUGCAAUACAACAUUACGGGGCGUAUAAUAUUUUGGUUUUAUUUUCGAUCUUAUACUCUUCGACAGGUCGAGUUGUACGUCGUCGCGUCUGCGGUUAUUCGGUUUGAUCGGGCUCCACUGAACGUAAGAUGGUAUGCCGGAAGAAAACCUAUGUUAAAAUUAUCGUGCGUCCAAAAUAAACGUAGGUUUUUAAUAUUUUCAUAUCAGUUAUCCAGUACCUAUUCUCUGU